Molecule: long non-coding RNA, 1013 nt
Organism: Bubalus bubalis (water buffalo)
Lineage: Eukaryota; Metazoa; Chordata; Mammalia; Artiodactyla; Bovidae
Exons: 3
Source: RefSeq, a predicted model, not a curated record
UUUAGAAGGAGAAUGGGCAGAAGUGAGAAGAGUUUUGAAAAGAAAUGAAUAGCUUGGUAGGUAAAUGCUUCAGACUGUUAGAGGUCAAGCUAUUUGAGGACAAAGGAAGCCUUAAGUUGGGCCCUUGAAAGGUGUUCUUUGCACUGUGAGCAGGGCAGUCAGAUGGAAACUGAGGACAAAGGGUGAGAAGUGAAUUGAAUUGAAUGGAAGAGGAGGGUGAAGCAGUGAGCAGUGAGGAAAUCAGCAAGGGGGAGACACCUACUGUCUACCAGAGGAGGAAGAAAUCCAAGGAGAUUCUUUUUCUUAAGAUAGAAAAGAGAUUCACCAUUUUGUUUAUAUAUAAAGGCUGAGGGGAAGGAGCCACUGAAGGUGGUGAAGAUACAGCAGGAGAGACUACUGAGAGAAUAAUAUCUUGGAGGAUAUUGGAGGAAAUGGGGAGGGGCAUUGGAGGAAAAGAGAAGGGCCAAAGAAAGACCUCUCCUCCCCUGAACCCUGUUUCCAGGAUUUGGAGGCAGGUUUGAAACACUGGAUAAUACAAGCAAGAGGAAAUGUGAAGACAGAUCUAAAGGACUGGAAUGCAAGCUUCUGGAAGACAAGGAUCCUUCAUGUGACUUAGUGCUGCACAUGAGGAAGGAGAAUAUGAACUAUUCCAACUGAUCAAGCGCCAUAAACUUCAGGAAGAUGAGCGUAUGAAAGAGAAUUUCAUGCUUUUUAAAGAGAUUUUAUACAAGUAAUCACAUCAAUCUUACCUGGAGAAUCCUAUGAAUCAGUUAACAAAUGUUCUGUUACAAGUUUUUGCGUGUUUGAUGAACUAAGAAUGACUUACUUCUAUUGAUGAUUACUUUGAAAACAAAAAAAGAUACCACAAAUGGAAUUUACAUAUCUGAAACCAUGAAAAUCAUCAAAGCUUUUUUAUAGAAAAUAUUUGAAACUAAUGGUAUAGUACUACAAUUUUAUUUUGAACUUGUUUGAAGGAUUAAAAGAUGAGGGACUGUAGUACCAAGAUGUAUUUC